Molecule: ribosomal RNA, 132 nt
Filed under: Salmonella enterica subsp. enterica serovar London
Lineage: Bacteria; Pseudomonadati; Pseudomonadota; Gammaproteobacteria; Enterobacterales; Enterobacteriaceae
Description: partial 23S ribosomal RNA
Rfam family: Bacterial large subunit ribosomal RNA (bases 1-115)
Source: RNAcentral
UGAGACUUUAGGUCUCCUGAAGGAACGUUGAAGACGACGACGUUGAUAGGCCGGGUGUGUAAGCGCAGCGAUGCGUUGAGCUAACCGGUACUAAUGAACCGUGAGGCUUAACCUUACAACGCCGAAGCUGUU